AGCAGUAGCCGCGGUAAUACGGAGGGUGCAAGCGUUAUCCGGAUUUAUUGGGUUUAAAGGGUCCGUAGGCGGACUUAUAAGUCAGUGGUGAAAGCCUGUCGCUUAACGAUAGAACUGCCAUUGAUACUGUAAGUCUUGAGUAUAUUUGAGGUAGCUGGAAUAAGUAGUGUAGCGGUGAAAUGCAUAGAUAUUACUUAGAACACCAAUUGCGAAGGCAGGUUACCAAGAUAUAACUGACGCUGAGGGACGAAAGCGUGGGUAGCGAACAGGAUUAGAUACCCCUGUAGUCCCUGUCUCUUAUAC
RNAcentral lists this ribosomal RNA (303 nucleotides) under uncultured bacterium. RNAcentral's name for it is "partial 16S ribosomal RNA". It matches the Rfam family "Bacterial small subunit ribosomal RNA", at positions 507 to 807 of the family's 1533-position model. The record is from RNAcentral.